AUGAUUAGGACAAGUCAUUUUUCUUCAAGAGGGUCCCAAAAGUCUGGCCAAAAUCUCCCACCGACGAGGACAAAUAGGAAUACAUAUAAAUUCUUUGCGUCUAGAUCUUCCUCUGUCACUCAACAAUUUCUCAAUUGCAGCCCUCAGAAUUCCCCUUUUGGAGUUCCUGAUCUGGGUCAUCCAGAUCUGAUCAAGAAACCACUAAAAAUGAGAUCUUUUGAGAAAUUCAAGAUUUGGGUUUUGUUAAUCUGCUUGGUGUUUGAAUUGGGUUAUGGGUUUUAUCUGCCUGGAAGUUAUCCUCAUAAAUAUGGGGUUGGUGAUUUGUUGAAUGUUAAGGUGAAUUCAUUGACUUCAAUUGACACUGAGUUGCCUUAUAGUUAUUAUAGUUUACCUUUUUGCCAACCACAAGAGGGUGUGAAGGAUAGUGCUGAGAAUCUUGGUGAGCUUCUUAUGGGAGAUAGGAUUGAGAAUUCUCCUUAUAGGUUUAAGAUGUAUACUAAUGAGACUGAGAUUUUCAUGUGUCAAACUAAACCUUUGUCUGGUGAGGAGUUUAAGCUUUUGAAGAAGAGGAUUGAUGAGAUGUAUCAAGUGAAUUUGAUUCUUGAUAAUUUGCCUGCUAUUCGAUAUACGAGGAAGGCAGGUUAUUUCUUGCGGUGGACUGGUUAUCCGGUUGGGAUCAAGGUUCAAGAUGCGUAUUAUGUAUUUAAUCACUUGAAGUUUACGGUUCUUGUUCAUAAGUAUGAAGAGACCAAUGUGGCUCGUGUUAUGGGUACUGGGGAUGGAGCUGAGGUGAUCUCAACAGUUGGAAAGGAUGGAUCUGAGGAACCUGGUUACAUGGUUGUUGGGUUUGAGGUUGUUCCUUGUAGUGUUCAACAUGCUCCUGAUUCAGCAAAGAACUUGAAAAUGUACAAUAAGUACCCGACUCCAAUUAAGUGCGACCCUACAACUGUUGCCAUGGCUAUUAAAGAAAAUGAGCCUGUUUCGUUUACUUAUGAGGUGAACUUUGUGGAAAGUGACAUUAAGUGGCCAUCAAGAUGGGAUGCUUAUUUGAAGAUGGAAGGUGCAAAGGUGCAUUGGUUCUCUAUCCUUAACUCCCUUAUGGUGAUCACUUUCUUGGCUGGAAUUGUGCUUGUAAUCUUCUUGAGGACUGUCAGGCGGGAUCUGACAAGGUAUGAGGAGCUUGACAAAGAGGCUCAAGCUCAGAUGAAUGAGGAGUUAUCCGGGUGGAAACUUGUGGUAAGUGAUGUUUUCAGGGCUCCAAGUAAUCCAGGACUUUUGUGUGCGAUGGUUGGAGAUGGGGUUCAAAUUCUAGGGAUGGGUGUUGUGACUAUCAUGUUUGCUGCCCUCGGAUUUAUGUCCCCAGCUUCUCGUGGAACAUUGAUUACCGGCAUGCUAUUCUUCUAUAUGAUUCUUGGUGUUGCAGCUGGUUAUGUUGCUGUUCGUCUCUGGAGGACAAUCUUCUGUGGCGAUCACAAGGGCUGGAUUUCAGUCUCAUGGAAAGCUGCUUGUUUCUUCCCUGGAAUUGCUUUUCUCAUUCUAACCACAUUGAACUUCCUGCUAUGGGGUAGUCACAGCACAGGGGCCAUACCAUUUUCUCUGUUUGUCGUCCUCAUUUUACUUUGGUUCUGCAUUUCCGUUCCUCUAACCCUAGUCGGUGGUUAUUUGGGGGCAAAGGCUCCUCACAUUGAAUACCCAGUCCGAACUAACCAGAUCCCCCGUGAAAUCCCACCACAAAAAUAUCCAUCUUGGCUUUUAGUUUUGGGUGCAGGCACCCUUCCUUUCGGUACUCUGUUCAUUGAGCUCUUCUUCAUCAUGUCGAGUCUCUGGAUGGGUCGUGUCUACUAUGUCUUCGGCUUCCUCCUCAUUGUCAUGAUCCUUCUCGUCAUAGUCUGUGCUGAGGUCUCUCUUGUUCUGACUUACAUGCAUCUUUGUGUGGAGGACUGGAAAUGGUGGUGGAAAUCCUUCUUUGCCUCCGGAUCAGUUGCUAUAUACAUUUUCCUCUACUCUGUUAACUACCUAAUCUUUGAUCUCAAGAGCUUGAGCGGGCCUGUUUCUGCUACCCUUUACCUUGGAUAUUCCCUCUUCAUGGUCCUUGCCAUCAUGCUCGCGACAGGCACGGUCGGGUUCCUUUCCUCCUUCUGGUUUGUACAUUUCUUGUUCUCUUCAGUGAAGCUGGAUUAAAGAAGUCUCUUAUGGCAGAAAGAAACAAAAGAACCAUUGAAGAAACAGCUGCAGAUGUGUCUUUAAUCAUUCUUGUUUACUUUUUAUUGUCAUAUUACUAUCAUUUUGUAGGGUAUUUGGAACAGAAAGCCAAUAAACUCCUCAAGUUUUGCUAAAUUCUUUAAUAGUCAAGUGUUGCAUGAUAGCUUCAUUGGUUGGGAUAAUCAUAUUUGGAUGUGCUUAUAGUGACGAUUCAGUUGGUAAAUCUGGUUUGUACAUUGCAUUAACUCAACUCAUCAUGAUUCUUGAAUCACUUUUUUGAUUAUU
This is an RNA transcript of Solanum stenotomum, 2487 nucleotides long. It is a transcript of the gene named transmembrane 9 superfamily member 11-like, with no coding region annotated. The transcript has 3 exons. NCBI's taxonomy places the organism in Eukaryota, Viridiplantae, Streptophyta, Magnoliopsida, Solanales, Solanaceae. The record is from RefSeq and is a predicted model, not a curated record.